AAGCGCGUAGUUUAACAAGAACGUCAGGGCUUCACCUUGAAGGUACUGGUACCAGUAGCGCUCU
RNAcentral lists this transfer RNA (64 nucleotides) under Phallusia mammillata. RNAcentral describes it as "transfer RNA-Glu". Lineage: Eukaryota; Metazoa; Chordata; Ascidiacea; Phlebobranchia; Ascidiidae. The record is from RNAcentral.